This 245-nucleotide ribosomal RNA is filed under the name uncultured Alphaproteobacteria bacterium. RNAcentral describes it as "partial 16S ribosomal RNA". It matches the Rfam family "Bacterial small subunit ribosomal RNA", at positions 9 to 278 of the family's 1533-position model. Lineage: Bacteria; Pseudomonadati; Pseudomonadota; Alphaproteobacteria. The record is from RNAcentral.
GAGUUUGAUCCUGGCUCAGAGCGAACGCUGGCGGCAGGCCUAAUACAUGCAAGUCGAACGGCUCUUCGGAGCAGUGGCGGACGGGUGAGUAACGCGUGGGAACGUGCCCUUUGGUUCGGAACAACACAGGGAAACUUGUGCUAAUACCGGAUGUUGGACCCUUCGGGGGAAAGAUUUAUACGCCAUUGGAGCGGCCCGCGUUGGGAUUAGGCUAGUUGGUGGGGUAAAGGCCCACCAAGGCGACG